AUUAUCAUUUGGACAGUGGCAGACUGGUGAGUAACGCGUGGAUAAUCUGCCCCAAAGAUGAGGAUAGCUCGCCGAAAGGUGAGGUAAUCCUCAAUGGUGUGGGAAGUACAUAUGUACAUCCCACUAAAGCUUUAGCGCUUCGGGAUGAGUCUGCGUCCUAUCAGCUUGUUGGUAGAGUAAAGGUCUACCAAGGCUAAGACGGGUAACUGGUCUGAGAGGAUGGUCAGUCACAGUGGCACUGAAACACGGGCCACACUCCUACGGGAGGCAGCAAUUAGGAAUCUUGCACAAUGGAGGAAACUCUGAUGCAGCGACACCGCGUGAAGGAUGAAGACCCUCGGGUUGUAAACUUCUUUUAUAAUCUAACAAGUUCUGAGUGGAGUAUGAAUAAGCACCUGCUAACUGCGUGCCAGAAGCAUCGGUGAAGCGUGGGGUGCGAGCGUUAUCCGGAUUUAUUGGGCGUAAAGAGAUGCGUAGGCGUUUUGGUAAGUCUUCUGUCAAAGCCUUCGGCCUAACCGAAGAAAGGCAGAGGAUACUAUCAGAAUUGAGACAGAGAGGGGGAAGUGGAAUUCCCGGUGGAGCGGUGAAAUGCGUUGAUAUCGGGAGGAACACCAGUGGCGAAGGCAACUUCCUGGCUCUGUUCUGACGCUGAGGCUCGAAAGCGUGGAGAGCAAAGCGGAUUAGAUACUCGUGUAGUCCAUGCUGUAAACGUUGGAUACUGGACGUUUGGUUC
RNAcentral lists this ribosomal RNA (733 nucleotides) under uncultured organism. RNAcentral describes it as "bacterial SSU rRNA". It matches the Rfam family "Bacterial small subunit ribosomal RNA", at positions 79 to 830 of the family's 1533-position model. The record is from RNAcentral.